GACGAACGCUGGCGGCGUGCCUAAUACAUGCAAGUUGAGCGCUGAAGGUUGGUACUUGUACCAACUGGAUGAGCAGCGAACGGGUGAGUAACGCGUGGGGAAUCUGCCUUUGAGCGGGGGACAACAUUUGGAAACGAAUGCUAAUACCGCUUAAAAACUUUAAACACAAGUUUUAAGUUUGAAAGAUGCAAUUGCAUCACUCAAAGAUGAUCCCGCGUUGUAUUAGCUAGUUGGUGAGGUAAAGGCUCACCAAGGCGAUGAUACAUAGCCGACCUGAGAGGGUGAUCGGCCACAUUGGGACUGAGACACGGCCCAAACUCCUACGGGAGGCAGCAGUAGGGAAUCUUCGGCAAUGGACGAAAGUCUGACCGAGCAACGCCGCGUGAGUGAAGAAGGUUGUCGGAUCGUAAAACUCUGUUGGUAGAGAAGAACGUUGGUGAGAGUGGAAAGCUCAUCAAGUGACGGUAACUACCCAGAAAGGGACGGCUAACUACGUG
Molecule: ribosomal RNA, 497 nt
Filed under: uncultured bacterium
Lineage: Bacteria
Description: partial 16S ribosomal RNA
Rfam family: Bacterial small subunit ribosomal RNA
Source: RNAcentral